CCAAUCAGAGAUGAUGAGCUCUUCUCUUAUCUGUUCAUGGGGCUUGAUUCUAAAUAUGAUUCAAUUGUUACUUCACUGACCACUCAGAGUUGAUGAUCUUACCUUUGAUGAUGUGUAUGAACAUCACAUGGCCUUUGAGA
This is a small nucleolar RNA of Phragmites australis (common reed), 140 nucleotides long. RefSeq annotates it as small nucleolar RNA Z247. NCBI's taxonomy places the organism in Eukaryota, Viridiplantae, Streptophyta, Magnoliopsida, Poales, Poaceae. The record is from RefSeq and is a predicted model, not a curated record. The transcript has a single exon.